This 22-nucleotide ribosomal RNA is filed under the name Macropsychanthus megacarpus. RNAcentral's name for it is "Dioclea megacarpa partial large subunit ribosomal RNA". Lineage: Eukaryota; Viridiplantae; Streptophyta; Magnoliopsida; Fabales; Fabaceae. The record is from RNAcentral.
GGAGACCUCAGGUCAGGCGGGG